UUUCCGUAGGUGAACCUGCGGAAGGAUCAUUGUCGAUACCUGCCCAGCAGAACGACCCGUGAACUCGUAACAGCCUUCUGGGUUGGGGUGUCAUGCCCCCUCCCAAAAACGGUUGGGAGGGCACGUUGAAAGCUGCCCACCACUCCUCGCGUGCGGUGGGUCAGUCUUCUCGUUCCCUUCCCAGCCGAACAAUGAACCCCGGCGCGGUCUGCGCCAAGGAACUUAAACAAGGAGUAACCACGGCCGCCCCGGAAACGGUGUGCGUGCCGCUGGUGACAUCUUACCAUGAUACAUAACGACUCUCGGCAACGGAUAUCUCGGCUCUC
RNAcentral lists this unclassified non-coding RNA (326 nucleotides) under root metagenome. Its description in RNAcentral is "partial contains small subunit ribosomal RNA, internal transcribed spacer 1, and 5.8S ribosomal RNA". The record is from RNAcentral.